UGAGUUUGAUCAUGGCUCAGAUUGAACGCUGGCGGCAGGCCUAACACAUGCAAGUCGAGCGGUAACAGGACUAGCUUGCUAGUUGCUGACGAGCGGCGGACGGGUGCGUAACACGUAGGAAUCUGCCCGGUAGUGGGGGAUAGCCCGGAGAAAUCCGGAUUAAUACCGCAUACGCCUUACGAGGGAAAGAAGGGGCCUCUUCGGAGCCUUUCGCUAUCGGAUGAGCCUGCGUCGGAUUAGCUAGUUGGUGGGGUAAAGGCCUACCAAGGCGACGAUCCGUAGCUGGUCUGAGAGGAUGAUCAGCCACACUGGGACUGAGACACGGCCCAGACUCCUACGGGAGGCAGCAGUGGGGAAUAUUGCACAAUGGGGGAAACCCUGAUGCAGCCAUGCCGCGUGUGUGAAGAAGGCUCUAGGGUUGUAAAGCACUUUCAGCGAGGAGGAAAGGUUGCUGGUUAAUACCCAGCGGCUGUGACGUUACUCGCAGAAGAAGCACCGGCUAACUCCGUGCCAGCAGCCGCGGUAAUACGGAGGGUGCGAGCGUUAAUCGGAAUUACUGGGCGUAAAGCGUGCGUAGGCG
Molecule: ribosomal RNA, 580 nt
Filed under: uncultured Gammaproteobacteria bacterium
Lineage: Bacteria; Pseudomonadati; Pseudomonadota; Gammaproteobacteria
Description: bacterial SSU rRNA
Rfam family: Bacterial small subunit ribosomal RNA
Source: RNAcentral